UCGGGAAUUUUGGGCAAUGGGCGAAAGCCUGACCCAGCAACGCCGCGUGAGGGAUGAAGUAUUUCGGUAUGUAAACCUCGAAAGAAUGGGAAGAAUAAAUGACGGUACCAUUUAUAAGCUCCGGCUAACUACGUGCCAGCAGCCGCGGUAAUACGUAGGGAGCAAGCGUUGUUCGGAUUUACUGGGCGUAAAGGGCGCGUAGGCGGCGCGGUAAGUCACUUGUGAAAUCUCUGAGCUUAACUCAGAACGGCCAAGUGAUACUGCUGUGCUAGAGUGCGGAAGAGGCAACCUGAAUUCUUGGUGUAGCGGUGAAAUGCGUAGAUAUCAAGAGGAACACCUGAGGCGAAGGCGGGUUGCUGGGCCGACACUGACGCUGAUGCGCGAAAGCCAGGGGAGCAAACG
This 402-nucleotide ribosomal RNA is filed under the name uncultured bacterium. Its description in RNAcentral is "bacterial SSU rRNA". It matches the Rfam family "Bacterial small subunit ribosomal RNA", at positions 355 to 774 of the family's 1533-position model. The record is from RNAcentral.